Molecule: long non-coding RNA, 265 nt
Filed under: Marmota monax (woodchuck)
Lineage: Eukaryota; Metazoa; Chordata; Mammalia; Rodentia; Sciuridae
Source: RNAcentral
GGGAAACUGUGGUUCUGCCUCCUUGCUCUGUCACUGUGAGGCUGUCACUGUCUCCAGGUUAUUUGGCUGUUAGUAUGCUUGCCCCCAAAUGUUCUUGGUAAAGAGUGAGACAUUGUUGUUGUUCAUUUCCUGGCAGACCUCACUCUACAGACAGUGCCACACAUAGAAAGAUGACCCUGCCACUCCUGGAUAGAAAUUCAAAGACACAGAUUAGAAUCUUGCCAAUAGCUGGUCGUGAUCCUGAAUGCCAACGCACAGAAAUGAU